This 746-nucleotide ribosomal RNA is filed under the name uncultured bacterium. RNAcentral describes it as "bacterial SSU rRNA". It matches the Rfam family "Bacterial small subunit ribosomal RNA", at positions 8 to 748 of the family's 1533-position model. The record is from RNAcentral.
AGAGUUUGAUCCUGGCUCAGAUUGAACGCUGGCGGCAGGCUUAACACAUGCAAGUCGAGCGGGCGAGGUUGCUUCGGUAACUGAGCUAGCGGCGGACGGGUGAGUAAUGCUUAGGAAUCUGCCUAUUAGUGGGGGACAACAUUCCGAAAGGAAUGCUAAUACCGCAUACGCCCUACGGGGGAAAGCAGGGGAUCUUCGGACCUUGCGCUAAUAGAUGAGCCUAAGUCAGAUUAGCUAGUUGGUGGGGUAAAGGCCUACCAAGGCGACGAUCUGUAGCGGGUCUGAGAGGAUGAUCCGCCACACUGGGACUGAGACACGGCCCAGACUCCUACGGGAGGCAGCAGUGGGGAAUAUUGGACAAUGGGCGCAAGCCUGAUCCAGCCAUGCCGCGUGUGUGAAGAAGGCCUUUUGGUUGUAAAGCACUUUAAGCGAGGAGGAGGCUACUUGGAUUAAUACUCUAGGAUAGUGGACGUUACUCGCAGAAUAAGCACCGGCUAACUCUGUGCCAGCAGCCGCGGUAAUACAGAGGGUGCGAGCGUUAAUCGGAUUUACUGGGCGUAAAGCGUGCGUAGGCGGCUUUUUAAGUCGGAUGUGAAAUCCCUGAGCUUAACUUAGGAAUUGCAUUCGAUACUGGGAAGCUAGAGUAUGGGAGAGGAUGGUAGAAUUCCAGGUGUAGCGGUGAAAUGCGUAGAGAUCUGGAGGAAUACCGAUGGCGAAGGCAGCCAUCUGGCCUAAUACUGACGCUG